AUUGCUUCUCAGCCUUUUGGCUAAGAUCAAGUGUAGUAUCUGUUCUUAUCAGAACUAUAUUUGUGAAAUACAUUAAAUCUGUUAUAUUUAUAACAAAAAUAUUAAAAAAGAAUUGGUCCACUUCAU
Oryctolagus cuniculus (rabbit) is the source of this 126-nucleotide small nuclear RNA. Its record names the gene U2. It matches the Rfam family "U2 spliceosomal RNA". From Rfam's summary of the family: U2 is a small nuclear RNA (snRNA) component of the spliceosome (involved in pre-mRNA splicing). Complementary binding between U2 snRNA (in an area lying towards the 5' end but 3' to hairpin I) and the branchpoint sequence (BPS) of the intron results the bulging out of an unpaired adenosine, on the BPS, which initiates a nucleophilic attack at the intronic 5' splice site, thus starting the first of two transesterification reactions that mediate splicing. The record is from Ensembl. NCBI's taxonomy places the organism in Eukaryota, Metazoa, Chordata, Mammalia, Lagomorpha, Leporidae.